RNAcentral lists this ribosomal RNA (313 nucleotides) under uncultured bacterium. RNAcentral's name for it is "bacterial SSU rRNA". It matches the Rfam family "Bacterial small subunit ribosomal RNA", at positions 30 to 334 of the family's 1533-position model. The record is from RNAcentral.
AUUGAACGCUGGCGGUACGCCUAACACAUGCAAGUCGAACGGUAACAGAUGAGAAGCUUGCUUCUUUGCUGACGAGUGGCGGACGGGUGAGUAACGCGUGGGAAUCUACCCAGUAGUUGGGGAUAGCCCGGAGAAAUCCGGAUUAAUACCGAAUACGGUCUACGGACGAAAAGGUGCCUCUUCUUGAGAGCACUUGCUAUUGGAUGAGCCCGCGUUAGAUUAGUUUGUUGGUGGGGUAACGGCCUACCAAGACUGCGAUCUAUAGCUGGUUUGAGAGGAUGAUCAGCCACAUUGGGACUGAGACACGGCCCAG